GAAAAGAGCUUCGAAGCUUUCAAGGUUUGAGCUCCAAUGGCGAAACCGGUUCAAAUUGAAGUAUGGAAUCCAAAUGGCAAGUACAGAGUUGUGAGCACAAAGCCUAUGCCUGGAACUCGCUGGAUCAAUCUCUUGAUCGAGCAAGAUUGCCGAGUCGAAAUUUGUACUGAGAAGAAAACGAUACUCUCGGUUGAGGAUAUUAUUGCUCUCAUCGGCGAUAAGUGCGACGGCGUCAUUGGACAGUUGACUGAAGAUUGGGGAGACGUGCUGUUU
This 273-nucleotide unclassified non-coding RNA is filed under the name Hevea brasiliensis (rubber tree). The record is from RNAcentral. Lineage: Eukaryota; Viridiplantae; Streptophyta; Magnoliopsida; Malpighiales; Euphorbiaceae.